UUUCAGGUUAGGCGUGGCCAUGUGAUUGCUCUAGCCUGUAAAACGUGAGCAGAAGAGGCAUGAAGAACUUGGCUAGAUGCAUGUGAGGAGCAAGUUCAAGUCAGACUCAAUGUCAUUUCACCAUGAUUGGGGCAGAGUGGCACCGGGCCUGGUGGGAUCAGAAGGCAGGACACAGUGGACAGCUGGAUUGCCCCUUUCUAAAUCCAGCUUUCUUCAUCCAGGAAGCCUUCUUGGACCCUCCCACCCAGAGGGCCCUCUCCUACCCUGAACUCCUCCAGAAUUCUGUCUGCUGAAAGAAGGCAUAUGGAGUAUGAGAAGACAGCAGGGCUCUGAAGUCAGACCGAUGUGGUUUAAAUCUUGGUUUCAUCUUUGAUAAUCUGAUCAUUAAUUCAACAUCUGUAGCAUGCCAGGCACUGUUCUAUAUCCUGAAGAUGUGUUCAUCUUCAAGACCUGGGUGUUCUUGGAUCCUAUAUGCAAGUGAGGGAGAGAGAGACAGUCAAUAACAACAAUAACAAGGCCAAACAUGCAAAAAAGAAAAUAAGUUGUGAUGUUGGAAAUUAAGAAAAUAACCAAGGGGCUGAGAUAAAGAAUAACAGAAGGACCUACUUUAGAUGAGGUUGAUGAAUGACUGCCUCUUUGAAUGGGCAGCAUUUAAAAUUGCGAUGUACAAGAAGGAAGAAUAGCUACUAUAUAAAUAAAAGGGAAGAGCAUUCUCGGCAAGAGAAAAAUGACAGGCACAAGACCGCUAAGUGGGAAGGGUAGGAAAGGGCUUGGGUGGGGCAAGGUUGAAACUGAAGGAAGAGGAGUGUCUCUGGAGAGUACCCUGAGCUGAGGGUGGAGGGUAGGGCUGUGCUUUCCAGGCUAUUUUAGGAGAUAGAUUUAAGACGGAUUUUAGAGCACAAAAACCAGCAAGACUUUCUGGUGGUUUAGGUAAAGGGAGAAGAGGACGCACUCAAGAAGAGAGAGUCAAGUCACCUGGGGUGGGGAUGCCAUGCCCUUUACUGGAAUGGCAAAGGUGGAGUUGGGAGGAUGGAAAGUCUGCUCUGAAUGUGUUAGUCUGGAGAUAUCUGAGAUCUCCAGGUGGAAAUGGCAGCAGGCAAUAGGAUCCACAAGUCAGAAGGAAGCUCAAAGAAGUCCAGGUUGGGGAUAUAGAUUUGGGAUGACAGCAUAAGAAUAGUAUUUAAAUCCAUGGAAUUUCAUGAACUCACCUGUGAAGUGAAGAAAAAGGACCCAAGAGGGCCUAAGGAAGACCAAGGAGAAGUCAGAAAAAGGAGGAGGACCUGCAAAGGAGGACCAGCCAGUGAAGAGCGAGGAGAGCCUGGAGAGAAGAAUGUGGUAGAAACAGAGAGAGGCAAGAGUUUGCAGAAAGAGGGGUCAAUAUUGUCACAGGACUAAGAUGAAGUCCAAGAGUGGGGCUGGGCCUGGCCGGUUGGAGUCACUGGUGACCUUGACUGAGCAGUCUCAGUACUGGGGAGCAGAGUUAGCCUUUAGUGGGCCCGGGAGUGCAUGGGAGUUAAGAGAUGGAGGCUGUGAACAAAUUAUAUUCUUUGGAGAAAUUUGACUGCAAAAGAAAAUAGAGGGAUUGGGAAGUAGUUGUCAAGGGGAGGGGCUGGAGGUAGAUGAAUUGCAAGUGAGAGGAGUAUGUCUGGGUGCUGAUUGGACUUGCCUAGAAAAACCAAGAGACUGGUGAGAGAGCCACAGAGGGACAAUGAGAGCAAUAAGUUCCCAAGGAGCUGAAGAGGAUGAAUUCAGAGCACAGGUGGAGGGACUUUCUCCAUCAGCACAGGAAGAAGCAGAAUAGAGGGGCAGUCAGGAUGGGUCCUAAUCUAGUAUUGGGAAGAUGAAAGUUGAGCGAAGUAAUUGGGGGGGAAGGGUCCCUUGGAACCAGAGGGAGAGAGCAGGGUGGAAGGGAAG
Non-coding RNA from Chlorocebus sabaeus (green monkey), 1914 nucleotides. The record is from RefSeq and is a predicted model, not a curated record. Lineage: Eukaryota; Metazoa; Chordata; Mammalia; Primates; Cercopithecidae.